GUUCGAUUAUGGCUCAGAUUGAACGCUGGCGGGAUGCCCCCACGGCAUGCAAGUCGAACGGCAGCGGACUUCCGGUCUGGUGGCGAGUGGCGAGGCAGGUGAAGUAAUAUCCGGAACGUGCUGUUAGCAGGACAACUACGCGAAAGCGUAGCUAAUACCUUACCUUCGGGAAAGCGGGGAUUUUCGGGCCUCGCACUUAUCGACGACGAUAUCCGGAUUAGCCUGGAUCGGUGGGGUAACGGCUCACCAAGGCGACGAUCCGUAGCUGGUUUGAAGGACGACCAGCCACUGGGACUGAGACUUACGGCCCAGACUCCUACGGGAGGCGGCAGUGGGAAUUUUGGACAAUGGGAAACCUGAUCAGCCGUCUCCCGCGUGUGCGAUGAGGCCUUCGGGUUGUAGCUGCUGGCAGAGGAAAAACGGCACGGGAUAAUACCCGUCUGACGGCAGUACAAGAAUAAGCACCGGCUAACUACGAAACUGGCGGCAGCAAAAGCGAUAAGCCGCGUAGGAAUUGCAGCGAUUGUCCGGGAAUUACUGGGCGUAAAGCGUGCGCGAGCGUUCGGAAAGAAGACGGCGAAAUCCCAGAGCAACGGAACUGCAUUUUUAACUACCGAGCUAGAGAGUGUGUCAGGGAGGUGGAAUUCCGCGUGUAGCAGUGAAAUGCGUAGAUAUGCGGAGGAACACCGAUGUGAAGGCAGCCUCCUGGGAUAACAUGGUAGCUCAUACAGCGUGAGGAGCUAAACGGGAUUAAAUACCCACCAGUAGUCCACGCCCUAAACGUGUCAACUAGCUGUUCGGUGCCCUUUGGAACCUUGGUAGCGCAGCUCUUGCGUGAGAUUGACCAACCUGGGAGUACGGUCGCAAGAUUAAACUCAAGGAAUUGACGGGGACCCGCACAAGCGGUGGAUGAUGUGGAUUAAUUCGAUGUACUUGAAGAGCCUUACCCUACCCUUGACAUGUCUGGAAUCCCGAAGAGAUUUGGGAGUGCUCGCAAGAGAACCGGAACACAGGUGCUGCGUGGCUGUCGUCAGCUCGUGUCGUGAGAUGUUGGGUUAAGUCCGCAACGAGCGCAACCCUUGUCGUGGAUUGCUACGAAAGGGCACUCCAUGAGACUGCCGGUGACAAACCGGAGGAAGGUGGGGAUGACGUCAAGUCCUCAUGGCCCUUAUGGGUAGGGCUUCACACGUCAUUACAAUGGUCGGGACAGAGGGUCGCCAACCGCGAGGGGGAGCCAAUCCCCGACCCGAUCGUAGUCCGGAUAGCGCAGUCACAACUCGACUGCAUUGAUCAGGUCAUGGCGUAAUCGCGGAUCAGCAUGUCAUGAUGAAUACGUUUGGGUCUGUACACACCGCCGUCACCAUAGGAGUGGGUUUUACCAGAAGUAGUUGGCUGCCCUAACCGUAAGGGCGAUUACCACGGUAGGAUUCAUGACUGGGGUGAAGUAUCAGCUAACGGGUAG
Molecule: ribosomal RNA, 1462 nt
Filed under: uncultured Bordetella sp.
Lineage: Bacteria; Pseudomonadati; Pseudomonadota; Betaproteobacteria; Burkholderiales; Alcaligenaceae
Description: partial 16S-23S ribosomal RNA intergenic spacer
Rfam family: Bacterial small subunit ribosomal RNA
Source: RNAcentral